RNAcentral lists this ribosomal RNA (468 nucleotides) under uncultured bacterium. RNAcentral's name for it is "partial 16S ribosomal RNA". It matches the Rfam family "Bacterial small subunit ribosomal RNA", at positions 28 to 507 of the family's 1533-position model. The record is from RNAcentral.
GACGAACGCUGGCGGCGGGCUUAACACAUGCAAGUCGAACGGAAAGGCCCGGCUGUGGUAGAGUGCUCGGUUAGCGAACGGGUGAGUAACUCGUGAGUGACCUGCCCUUGACUAUGUGGUAACUUCAGGGAACUGGGGCUACUACCGGAUGGUAUCUCCUGCUGCAUUGUGGGGGUGGGAGAGUUUCGGCGGGUGGGGAUGGACUCGCGGCUUAUCAGCUUGUUGUUGGGGUAGUGGCUUACCAAGGCGUUGCCGGGUAGCAGGCCUGCGAGGGUGACCGGACAAAUCGGGUCUGAGAUAAGGCACAGACUCCUAUGGGAGGCAGCGGUGCGGAAUAUAGUACAAUGGGCGGAAGCCUGAUGUAGCAACGCCGCGCGCGGGAAGACGGCAAGCGGGUUGGAAACCGAUUUCGUCUGUGAGGAGGAGUGAGUGACGGUAAUGGGUAAAGAAGCACCGGCUAACUACGUG